AAUAUUGGACAAUGGGCGCAAGCCUGAUCCAGCCAUGCCGCGUGAGUGAUGAAGGNCCNNGGGGUNUNAAGCUCUUUCACCGGNNNNNAUAAUGACGGUCACCGGAGAAGAAGCCCCGGCUAACUUCGUGCCAGCAGCCGCGGUAAUACGAAGGGGGCUAGCGUUGUUCGGAAUUACUGGGCGUAAAGCGCACGUAGGCGGACAUUUAAGGCAGGGGUGAAGUCCCGGGGCUCAACCCCGGAACUGCCUUUGAUACUGGAUGUCUGGAGUAUUGAAGAGGUGAGUGGAAUUCCGAGUGUAGAGGUGAAAUUCGUAGAUAUUCGGAGGAACACCAGUGGCGAAGGCGGCUCACUGGUCCAUUACUGACGCUGAGGUGCGAAAGCGUGGGGAGCAAACAGG
Molecule: ribosomal RNA, 399 nt
Filed under: uncultured bacterium
Lineage: Bacteria
Description: partial 16S ribosomal RNA
Rfam family: Bacterial small subunit ribosomal RNA
Source: RNAcentral